AUACGGAGGGUGCAAGCGUUAUUCGGAAUCACUGGGCGUAAAGGGUGCGGAGGCGGUUUGAUAAGUCUGAUGUGAAAUCCUAUGGCUCAACCAUAGAACUGCAUUGGAAACUGUCAGACUAGAAUACUGAAGGGGCAGAUGGAAUUAGUGGUGUAGGGGUAAGAUCCGUAGAUAUCACUAGGAAUACCGAAAGCGAAAGCGAUCUGCUGGGAAGUUAUUGACGCUGAGGCACGAAAGCGUGGGGAGCAAACGGGAGUAGAUACCCCAGUAGUCC
Molecule: ribosomal RNA, 274 nt
Filed under: uncultured bacterium
Lineage: Bacteria
Description: partial 16S ribosomal RNA
Rfam family: Bacterial small subunit ribosomal RNA
Source: RNAcentral